This 398-nucleotide ribosomal RNA is filed under the name uncultured bacterium. RNAcentral's name for it is "partial 16S ribosomal RNA". It matches the Rfam family "Bacterial small subunit ribosomal RNA", at positions 338 to 733 of the family's 1533-position model. The record is from RNAcentral.
CCUACGGGAGGCAGCAGUGAGGAAUAUUGGUCAAUGGGCGCGAGCCUGAACCAGCCAAGCCGCGUGAAGGAUGACUGCUCUGCGUGUUGUAAACUUCUUUUAUAAAGGAAUAAAGUCAGGCACUUGUCCCUUUUUGUAUGUACCUUAUGAAUAAGCAUCGGCUAACUCCGUGCCAGCAGCCGCGGUAAUACGGAGGAUCCGAGCGUUAUCCGGAUUUAUUGGGUUUAAAGGGAGCGUAGAUGGGUUGUUAAGUCAGUGGUGAAAGGUUGGGGAUCAACCGUGGAUUUGCUGUUGAUACUGGCAGUCUUGAGUGCAGGAGAGGUAGGCGGAAUGCGUGGUGUAGCGGUGAAAUGCUUAGAUAUUACGAAGAACUCCGAUUGCGAAGGCAGCAUACUGGA